This 314-nucleotide ribosomal RNA is filed under the name uncultured Chloroflexota bacterium. Its description in RNAcentral is "bacterial SSU rRNA". It matches the Rfam family "Bacterial small subunit ribosomal RNA", at positions 28 to 351 of the family's 1533-position model. The record is from RNAcentral. Lineage: Bacteria; Bacillati; Chloroflexota.
GAUAAACGCUGGCGGCGUGCAUUAUGCAUGCAAGUCGAACGGUGCCCGCAAGGGCACAGUGGCAAACGGGUGAGUAACACAUAAGUAACCUGUCCCUGAGUGGGGAAUAAUUAGCCGAAAGGCUGACUAAUACCGCAUUCGAUGGGCUCCCAUAAGGGAGUUUAUGAAAGCCGCAAGGCGCUCGGGGAGGGGCUUGUGUCCGAUUAGCUAGUUGGUGAGGUAACGGCCCACCAAGGCUGUGAUCGGUAGCUGGUCUGAGAGGAUGGUCAGCCACACUGGGACUGAGACACGGCCCAGACUCCUACGGGUGGCUG